CCUGAAGGCGGCCGUGAUCGUGGCGUGCGCCUUCACCGCCUUCCUCAUCGCCUGCCUGCUGCUGCGCGUCUUCAGGUCCGGAAAGAGGUUGAAGAAGACCCGCAAGUAUGACAUCAUCACCACCCCCGCUGAGCGCGUGGAAAUGGCCCCGCUGAAUGAAGAGGAUGAUGAGGAUGAAGACUCCACAGUAUUUGACAUCAAAUACAGGUAAAACCUGUUUCCCAGCGUGUUGGCAUCCUGUGGAAAGUUGGUCAGCUGCACCUGGGCGGGAAGGAUCUGGAAGCUGUCUUGUCCGAGGUGUUGAAACCAAAACAAACAUUAUUUAUGAAACUGGCACAUUUGUGUGUGUCGAACGUCUGCUCAGAACGUCACCGCAAGAGAAUCGCCUCUCCCUUCCUCUGGACACCACUUUAAAAUGUUGCCCUUCUUUCCUCCUCAAGGGGCUUCUGCCUUGCCAAGGGGCACAGGGUAGAAACGUGUUGACUUAAAAAAUAUUAACUUGAAAGCAACUGUUGACAAAAGUAAAAGAGAUCAGAAGUUAUGAAGAACCUCAAGAAGGAUAUCCAUCUGAGCAGUGAGGCGUUCUGACAUUCUGCUCUCCUGGAUCUGUGACGUGCGAGAUGUCUAAUCCUGUGGACUUUGGGUUUGGUCAGGAUCUGGCCUUCUGUUGGGAAUGGCUGUGUUCAGAGUGAGAGUCGUUGGAGCUGGUCAGCCCAUAGCAGAAGUAUAUACAUGUUUGUGGCUCCUGUUCUUUUUCUUCUUUUGUUUAAAGGGUUCAGCAGAACUGGGCAUGGCUAGUUCAUAAAGGAUUUUGAAUAUCAGGGAAAAAAAUAUAUGUGUGUAUGUCUGUACCUCUAAAAUAAUUUCUUCUUGUCUGAAGGAAAAAGAAUGCACUAGAGGCAGCCUUUGGUUAGUAACAUCCUGUGUGUCUCUGUGCCUGUCAUAGUUUUUACAUUGUCGGUCUUAGACAUCUAAUUGCAAAAUAUCACUGUGGUCAUUUCAAUGCAUGAUGGUUUGGUUGGCUGAAAAAGCACACUGUCCAGGCUGGACUAGAAUCCCGCUGACUCAGGGGGUACCCCAGCUGUGGGUCAGGGGUUCGGGUGGCUUCUGGAAGCAGGGACUUGGGUUGGCUUCUCAGGUUGAUCGGGGUUCCCGUUUCACUGUUCCCAGGGUGGAUGCUCCUGCUAAAGCUGACUGACAGUGCCUUUGGGGCCCUGGGACUCUGUUCUCCCCGGAAAGGUGUUUUGUACUUUAAAAAAAAGCUCUUUUCUGGCUUCCUGCAGGGUUUGUGUAUCGGUCUGUUAAUUGUCUGCACCAUUGCCUUGGAUGAAAACUCUAGCCUUUCCCAGCUGAGCCAGCCCUUUUUCAGUUGCCAGAACUGAAGCCCUGGCCUGUAUGGAAGGCACAUUGGCCCCUGCAGGAAAGGCGGGUUGGGGGGGUGGAGGUGGGGGUGACCCUGGGGGAGACCACUAUGGGAAGAGCACGUGCUGUAUGGAACGCACCCUGCCUGCUCCUCCCUGAUUUCAUUUCCUUUGUUGAUUUUUCCUUUUCCUCUUUUCUGUCCUGUUUGCCAGAGGGAUGGGCCCGCUUUCUCUCUCCCCACCACAGUGUCUUCAUGGGCCAGACUGGUGACUACAUGGCAGCUGUGCACCCUCUGCCCUUUGGACUGGAACUGCCGCUCACACUUGCCUUUUCCACAAGCGCCGCAGAAUGAUCUGCCGGAAGGCUGGGUCCUCUGCCUUACAUGUACAGACCGGCUCAGGCUGCCCGGUGCUCACCGCCAGGCCUGGCAGACGCAGCGGACAAUGACCUUCCAAAUUGUGGAGCUUCAACACUACAGGCUCUUAAAUCAAACAAACAAACAAAAA
Molecule: RNA transcript, 1868 nt
Organism: Myotis brandtii (Brandt's bat)
Lineage: Eukaryota; Metazoa; Chordata; Mammalia; Chiroptera; Vespertilionidae
Exons: 3
Source: RefSeq, a predicted model, not a curated record